GACGUAGGGCGCGAGCGUUGUCCGGAUUUAUUGGGCGUAAAGAGCUCGUAGGCGGCUUGUCGCGUCGUUCGUGAAAACUCACAGCUCAACUGUGAGCUUGCGGUCGAUACGGGCGGGCUAGAGUUCGGUAGGGGAGACUGGAAUUCCUGGUGUAGCGGUGAAAUGCGCAGAUAUCAGGAAGAACACCAAUGGCGAAAGCAGCUUUCUGGGACGGUACUGACGCUGAGACGCGAAAGCGUGGGGAGCGAACAGG
RNAcentral lists this ribosomal RNA (253 nucleotides) under uncultured bacterium. RNAcentral describes it as "partial 16S ribosomal RNA". It matches the Rfam family "Bacterial small subunit ribosomal RNA", at positions 524 to 776 of the family's 1533-position model. The record is from RNAcentral.